CCUACGGGGGGCUGCAGUAGGGAAUAUUGCUCAAUGGGGGAAACCCUGAAGCAGCAACGCCGCGUGGAGGAUGAAGGUUUUCGGAUUUGAAACUCCUUUUGUUAGAGAAGAUAAUGACGGUAUCUAACGAAUAAGCACCGGCUAACUCCGUGCCAGCAGCCGCGGUAAUACGGAGGGUGCAAGCGUUACUCGGAAUCACUGGGCGUAAAGAGCGCGUAGGCGGGAGAGCAAGUCAGAUGUGAAAUCCUAUGGCUUAACCAUAGAACUGCAUUUGAAACUGUUAUUCUAGAGUAUGGGAGAGGGAGGUGGAAUUCUUGGUGGAGGGGUAAAAUGCGUAGAGAUCAAGAGGAAUACUCAUUGCGAAGGCGACCUGCUAGAACAUAACUGACGCUGAUGCGCGAAAGCGUGGGGAGCAAACAGGAUUAGAUACCCCUGUAGUC
RNAcentral lists this ribosomal RNA (440 nucleotides) under uncultured bacterium. Its description in RNAcentral is "partial 16S ribosomal RNA". It matches the Rfam family "Bacterial small subunit ribosomal RNA", at positions 338 to 795 of the family's 1533-position model. The record is from RNAcentral.